This 73-nucleotide transfer RNA is filed under the name Cochlearius cochlearius (boat-billed heron). RNAcentral describes it as "tRNA-Glu". Lineage: Eukaryota; Metazoa; Chordata; Aves; Pelecaniformes; Ardeidae. The record is from RNAcentral.
GUUCCUGUAGUUGAAGUAUAGUCAACGGUGGUUUUUCAAGCCACAGGUCUUGGAGAGUGGCCAAGUGGGAAUU